RNAcentral lists this ribosomal RNA (479 nucleotides) under uncultured bacterium. Its description in RNAcentral is "bacterial SSU rRNA". It matches the Rfam family "Bacterial small subunit ribosomal RNA", at positions 28 to 507 of the family's 1533-position model. The record is from RNAcentral.
GAUGAACGCUGGCGGCGUGCUUAACACAUGCAAGUCGAACGGGAAAUACUUUAUUGAAACUUCGGUCGAUUUAAUUUAUUUCUAGUGGCGGACGGGUGAGUAACGCGUGGGUAACCUGCCUUAUACUGGGGGAUAACAGCCAGAAAUGGCUGCUAAUACCGCAUAAGCGCACAGAACCGCAUGGUUCCGUGUGAAAAACUCCGGUGGUAUAAGAUGGACCCGCGUUGGAUUAGCUAGUUGGCAGGGCAGCGGCCUACCAAGGCGACGAUCAGUAGCCGGCCUGAGAGGGUGAACGGCCACAUUGGGACUGAGACACGGCCCAAACUCCUACGGGAGGCAGCAGUGGGGAAUAUUGCACAAUGGGGGAAACCCUGAUGCAGCGACGCCGCGUGAGCGAAGAAGUAUUUCGGUAUGUAAAGCUCUAUCAGCAGGGAAGAAGAAUGACGGUACCCGACUAAGAAGCACCGGCUAAAUACGUG